This 1343-nucleotide ribosomal RNA is filed under the name uncultured bacterium. RNAcentral's name for it is "16S ribosomal RNA". It matches the Rfam family "Bacterial small subunit ribosomal RNA", at positions 28 to 1378 of the family's 1533-position model. The record is from RNAcentral.
GACGAACGCUGGCGGCGUGCUUAACACAUGCAAGUCGAACGGAAAGGCCCUGCUUUUGUGGGGUGCUCGAGUGGCGAACGGGUGAGUAACACGUGAGUAACCUGCCCUUGACUUUGGGAUAACUUCAGGAAACUGGGGCUAAUACCGGAUAGGAGCUCCUGCUGCAUGGUGGGGGUUGGAAAGUUUCGGCGGUUGGGGAUGGACUCGCGGCUUAUCAGCUUGUUGGUGGGGUAGUGGCUUACCAAGGCUUUGACGGGUAGCCGGCCUGAGAGGGUGACCGGCCACAUUGGGACUGAGAUACGGCCCAGACCCCUACGGGAGGCAGCAGUGGGGAAUAUUGCACAAUGGGCGGAAGCCUGAUGCAGCAACGCCGCGUGCGGGAUGACGGCCUUCGGGUUGUAAACCGCUUUCGCCUGUGACGAAGCGUGAGUGACGGUGAUGGGUAAAGAAGCACCGGCUAACUACGUGCCAGCAGCCGCGGUGAUACGUAGGGUGCGAGCGUUGUCCGGAUUUAUUGGGCGUAAAGGGCUCGUAGGUGGUUGAUCGCGUCGGAAGUGUAAUCUUGGGGCUUAACCCUGAGCGUGCUUUCGAUACGGGUUGACUUGAGGAAGGUAGGGGAGAAUGGAAUUCCUGGUGGAGCGGUGGAAUGCGCAGAUAUCAGGAGGAACACCAGUGGCGAAGGCGGUUCUCUGGGCCUUUCCUGACGCUGAGGAGCGAAAGCGUGGGGAGCGAACAGGCUUAGAUACCCUGGUAGUCCACGCUGUAAACGGUGGGUACUAGGUGUGGGGUCCAUUCCACGGGUUCCGUGCCGUAGCUAACGCUUUAAGUACCCCGCCUGGGGAGUACGGCCGCAAGGCUAAAACUCAAAGGAAUUGACGGGGCCCCGCACAAGCGGCGGAGCAUGCGGAUUAAUUCGAUGCAACGCGUAGAACCUUACCUGGGUUUGACAUGGAUCGGGAGUGCUCAGAGAUGGGUGUGCCUCUUUUGGGGUCGGUUCACAGGUGGUGCAUGGCUGUCGUCAGCUCGUGUCGUGAGAUGUUGGGUUAAGUCCCGCAACGAGCGCAACCCUUGUUCACUGUUGCCAGCACGUUAUGGUGGGGACUCAGUGGAGACCGCCGGGGUCAACUCGGAGGAAGGUGGGGAUGACGUCAAGUCAUCAUGCCCCUUAUGUCCAGGGCUUCACGCAUGCUACAAUGGCUGGUACAGAGAGUGGCGAGCCUGUGAGGGUGAGCGAAUCUCGGAAAGCCGGUCUCAGUUCGGAUUGGGGUCUGCAACUCGACCUCAUGAAGUCGGAGUCGCUAGUAAUCGCAGAUCAGCAACGCUGCGGUGAAUACGUUCCCGGG